CUUCCCUCUGGUAAACGCUACAGAUCCAUCAGGUCAAAGAUAAUCAGACUCAAUAGAAGCUUUUACCCACAGGCUGUCAAACAUGCCCUAUCUCCACCCUGAUUGAAGGUUAACUGUGCUGUUAACACUCAGGAACACUUGCACUGUACUUAUUUAUAAACACUAUUCAUUACAGUAUUUAUUUCUAAACUGUACUCAUUACAGUGUCAAAUCAAAAAUCAAAUCAAAAUGUAUUCAUAAGCACAUUUAAAAACAACACGGGUUGAGCCAAAUUGCUGUACAUAGUAGAGAUAAAAUAGUAAACAUAUAUAGUAAUUUAUCCACUGAUCCACAUCACUUUACCCGGAUGUUUUCUUUCAAGCUGGAUGAUGACUCCUCUCUCCCUCACUCCAGUUCCAGCUUUGCACACCAGUUGCCCUCUGAGGUCACAGUGAUCAUCGGAGGCAGGAGACGGGAAAGUCAGAUCGGUUUCUUCCAUCUUUUUUCUCCAUGUUUAGAAAAACACUCCUAAAAUACCCAAGCAAAUAAAUAUCAUUAAAGAUUUACACACUUCAUUAGAAAACAGUGAACACAUCCCUAACCCUAACAUCACAAUAGCCAGAACAAGCACGGCCGGAGGUACUGUGAUGUAUUUUUUCUCUCAUCUCUCUUCAAAAAACCGCUGUGAUCCUGACGGGUCCUGUCAGCAUUUCAUGUUUGAGCACAUCCAAACCUAAUCCGUACUUCCAGAUGACACACUGCAUCAUAAGCCACUGCUACUGUUUCCUCAUAAUGCCAAAGAGUCAUGAAAUGAAAACUCUUUCCCCUCUCUUCAUAUAUUAUUUGCUCCUGGGCUUAUCAUUUGCCCACAGCAAAUAAAAGACUCAGCCUAACUUCCAAAUUUCCAAAUGAACUCACGCCCACUGCACUGCAGAAUAAUAAACAAUUACAUUUAGGCAGAGAUUACUUUUUCUCUGUAAAUGAUUGGCGGUCAGAAACUUGGACCUUGUCUCUACACACAGGAGAGAGCUGCUGCCUUUCUGUGGUGGACUUCGGAAGAUUUCCUUGUGAGGGAGCUGGUGGUGAAGAUCUCGAGGUCCUCCUUGAUUCCUGCGAU
Oreochromis aureus is the source of this 1096-nucleotide long non-coding RNA. Lineage: Eukaryota; Metazoa; Chordata; Actinopteri; Cichliformes; Cichlidae. The record is from Ensembl.